CACUGAAAAAACGAACUUGGUGGUGUAGUAAAAUAUACUAAUUAAACUGUCCUGAUGUCUACAAUUAAAUUUUUCGUUUCUGCGGGAACUAGAUUUUGUCAAGUAAAAUUACAUAGUGCGUUUGAAUCAGCGCAUGCGCAUUGGGACAAACGAAAGUACCGCGCAGAUGUCCAUUGUCCGUCCGUUCGUUGGCAGCAGACAGAGUUGUGAAUAUCUCCGGAAUCUCUCAGGCGACUGUUUUUGUAUUUAGCCGGCUGGGACAUGAGGUGACCAGAGAGAGUCAGGAGCGCUGGGCUGUUCAGUGACUAAUCAAAUACUGCACCGUUGUGAUUAGAGCAAAGCUUCAUGUACAAACUAGACCACUAUACACCAAAGCUUACUGCCCUGAUGAAAGCCAAGGGAGGUGUUGGAGGCAGGCUGAGGCCCCAUCUGGAUAAACUGAGUCAGAACCCGAGCACUGACAUGUGACGUGACGCAGUUAUCAGUGGCCUCAUACUAUUCCUUGGUGAAAAAGAAGAGAAACUUUUCGAAGAUUGCCUGGACAAUCGCAGUGAUGCCACUCAACACAUAGUCAAGAUCCUGGUUGUCCAUGGUACUGAUGGAGAAGAACCAGUAGAUGUUUCCAUCAUUCUUGAAGGGAAGGAGGUAUUGACACGAUGCAACAGCACAGCCAAAGCUUGCACGUUGCUAAUGGGACUGAUUUAUUCCCUGAACCUUGCCUACCCCUGGACUCUGCGCUACACCUUUGAGGUGUUUCAAAAACUUUUCCUGGAACUGAAUGGGAUAAAGCUGUCACCAAAAGUACAUCUUUAAAGUUGAAGUUGCUGUCUGAAAGGAGUUUUCUUUCUUAAAUGUUCCUAAUGUUGUCAACAAAGGCAACUGCUGUCAUUCAUGCUCACAAGGUAAAAAAAAAGUUAAAAAUAACCUUUGUUUUAAAGGUUUUAACAGAGGAUUUGAUGUUGUCCUCAAACUUUAAUGUUUUAACCGAAUGCUAAUAUAAAUAUGUUAAUGGAUGUUGCGGUUUAGAAUGUUGUUCAUGUCAGUACAGCAUAUUUUGUCAGGUCAAACCCUCAAUCUGUUUUGUCACCUGAUGUGCCCUGUUUAGUUUAAUGCGUCCAGGAGUCAAAAACAUUUUGAUUUUCCAGUGAUAUGCUUUUUUUCUGUAUAGCGUAAUGAUCACUCAGUAAAGGUAAACUUUUUUCUUUAUUGAUGCUUGAUUGAUGCUUUAUUGAUUUACUGCUGCUGAGAUUUCAUUUAAUUUUUUGUCAUGUGAAAUGUUGACUGCUGUUUCAUGUACAGUUCUACAUAGCUGUAUAAAAUGAGGUGUUACGUAAGGUACCUGACAAAGGUUUAUGAAUAAAUAAUGGAAUUGUAUUUUAGCCGUGUGAUUAUUAAUAGUAUUUGGUAAUAUUUAUCAAAAGAGAAUUUGCAACAUUUACAUAAAUGAAUUAGGUAAUAUAACUUCAAACAACCAAGUAAUUAAAAUGAUCAAACAGGAUAAAAAGUACUUGAUAAUUUUACG
This is a long non-coding RNA of Gasterosteus aculeatus aculeatus (three-spined stickleback), 1522 nucleotides long. The record is from Ensembl. NCBI's taxonomy places the organism in Eukaryota, Metazoa, Chordata, Actinopteri, Perciformes, Gasterosteidae.